UCCUUACUUUUCUCUCCUACCCAUUUAGUCUCCUGAAUGCAAGCAAUAUUCACCCUUCUCCUUUCCAAGGUAUCCACAAGCUCCAUCAAUUUUCCUGUAAGUGAUCCAACAUUCCAAGUACCAACCCUGAUCCUCCUCCUAUCCUGCUCCUUCCUAAUUGGUCUCCUUCUAUGAUAUCUUCUAUUGUUUUCUAUAUCUAUCUUGUGUUCUGUUCCACUAUUUGUUCUAUUAUCUGUCCUAUGGACUAACUUCUUUACCCACACCCGUCCAUGAUGUGGGAACCCUUGCUCACUUAACACCACACCCGAGCGCCGGCAUGGCGCGUCGCUUUCGGUGAACGCCCUACACCCUUGCAUAUUUAUCACUACACCCGGGCUCCGAUGUAGCGCGUCGUUAGUAGAGGACACUAAUUCUCCGUGUGUGUGUAGCAUAUAUAUAUAGACAUAUCUCCUUCUUUGUAUGGCUUGUAUAUGAUCCACAAAUUGUAAAGCUGUUCAUUUUCUUACAAUGGUCGCCAGCAACAUGAAGCACUUUUGUUGACUAUUAGGAUUGAUUUAUAUCUUCUUACAUUGGCUAAUACGUAAUCCAAUUGUUCCUGCAUUUAGCAAUUUUGUUCUGCUUAGUAACAAGAUUGCAACUCACCAAGGCGUUAUUUAUCGUAGUGCAAAAUUUUAAAUUUAAUUGCAAUUCUCUACAAGUGGAGAACCUUUAGUCCAAUAUGUGAUGGAGCUAAGCUAAGUAUCUCUGUGUGGAGGUGUGCAUGUUAAGAGGUAAAAUAAUUGAAUUUAGAGUUGAUCUCCUGGACAGAAAGACGUUGCCUUCCUGAUUACUUUUCUCAGGUUUUGGUCUAGUUUGGUUGAAAAUGGUUCCUUUUAAGCCUUGUUCAUAUCAUGUAGCACAGGAUGUUUUCCACUUGACAACAUCGUUUUGCACCAGACGUCCUCUUCUAUGUAGCAUACUUACAUGAGGCAAACAAGUUGGAUCGGGCAGAUUCGGAUUAGAUUUUUGCAACAAUUUAAUUUAAUUUAAUUUAAUUUUUAUAUUUAUAAAUAAAACAAUUUAAUUAAUUUAACUUUAAAAAAUUUAUUUUAAGCGAAAUAAAAAUUAUGUGAAAAGUAAUAUAAUUAUGUGAAUUCAUUUAAUUUUUUUUAUUGCAAAUAAUUAUUUAAAGAAGUAAUUGAGUUUUGCAUUUUGAGUUAUUUUGAAUUUUUACUUUUUCAAAAAAAAUUUAAUGUAAUUUUUUUUUAAUUUAAAUGAAUCAAUUUUAAAUUAAUCAUCAUGUUGACUUUUGAAUUUGUAAUUCAUUCAAGAUUUAUAUUUUGUGCGAGUUCAAAUAAAUUAAAGGUCGUUAGUAAAACUGUGAGCCCAUUGAUCAUCUGGCCUUGCUGUCAGGAUUUGAAAUCUUCACGGGCUUUUUCAUUGUCAAGUUACAGCCCAAUUUCAAUUGAAACGGCGUCGGUGCUCUCUCUUUGGUGUUGAAAUUUUAUCAUUGGAUUCUCCAUGCCCCUCUGGCCCUCCGUGACCGAAAAUUCAAAAUCCAGGUAAAUUCUCACCUCAAUUAUUAUCAAGAGCGGCCAUUCUGUAUACAACAAGCUCAUGUCUUUUCUGUUCAAGUAUUCCUUCUUAAUCAGCCAAACCAUGAAUUGGCAUUUUUCCUUGACUAUAAUCUUUCUUUGGUUCCCAAGAACGUCUCUUUGCUUCCCUUUUGAGGCCUGAUUUUUCUAGUUUUCUUUAUGGUGGAGAUAACCACCAUAGUGAAAGUUAGUGAAAGUUAAAGGCAUUCUACAUAUUGUCAGGGCAUUUAAAUAUUUGUUUAGUUGAAUUUGGUUUUGAGUCUUGUAUUAUCAGUAUUCAGUAAUGCACAUUAGGAGAGCGAUUUGAUAGCUUUUGCAAAGUGAAUAGUGAAAAUUGUAGAGCUUUUACCUGUUCGUUUGGAAAGGAUACCAUGUGAGUCUGCUGGAAGGAUGCAAAAAGGAAGAGAAUUAGGAGUUAUUUUUGGUGUAAGAGGAAAGUACCAUUUCUCAAAGGUGUGAUUUCUUUCCCAUCCAGAUAGGCCAUGUUGUGAAGAAUUAAGAGCUACACGUAAAUUCAAAAUUUACAUCAAUGCUGCCAUCAGAACAGGAUGGCUAUCAAAUGCUAGCAUUAUCAAGCUAUUUUGCUGCUAGCUGUUUGCACACGAAACAUAAGAAGGAUAUAGGCUUGGUGUCAUCCAUUGUUGCAAGAAAUUUGGCAUGCCCAUCCCAUGCAUGAAGUGAAACAACAUCUAUUUAAUUUUUCAAUUCUGCCAGAAUUAGCACCUUUUUACUUGGAUAAACUAAGUUCUUGGAACCAUUAUUAUGGUUUUAAGGUCAAAAAGCUCUUUAAGUAGAUCAAUGCAGCUCUUGAGAUGUGUCUGAUGCAACUAAGCUGCUGCAUUUCAACAGAAAACCCAUGAUCCUCUUCCCACUGUCCUGUAAAAUUGGUGCAUCAAUUGAGGUGCAAUGCAGGUUUUCUUUAAAUAAAUCGGAGUCUCUGUUGCCGAUGUGUGAGCAGACGGUCACCAACAUUCAAUGCAGGAUACAUGAAGGUUAUGAAGCUCGAUGCCACAAUUCCAUGGUCGGAGCUCAUAGAAGCAGCACGCAGAAAUGAUUCUAUAUCAAGAAACCCAUCACUUUAUAGCGUUGCCGCUGCAUUUAUACAGUACUUAAUCUUGAAGUUUGCAGGUCAUCACUUUCAUCUUUAUCAAGAAACCAUCAAUGUUACGCCUCAUUGUUAAUCAUUCAGCUUUUGUCUCUCAUAGUGUCUCGUAUUGAUGCAUAAAACUUCACUCAUUUUUAUUGGGGAACAAUUUUAGUGGGACUUUACUUACAUCUCCUUUUGUAUAAUUUGUAAAACUCCGAUUCCAUUUUCUGUGGAGACUGAAGAGAGUUGAGAA
Hevea brasiliensis (rubber tree) is the source of this 2914-nucleotide long non-coding RNA. RefSeq lists it as uncharacterized. Lineage: Eukaryota; Viridiplantae; Streptophyta; Magnoliopsida; Malpighiales; Euphorbiaceae. The transcript has 2 exons. The record is from RefSeq and is a predicted model, not a curated record.